RNAcentral lists this ribosomal RNA (484 nucleotides) under uncultured bacterium. RNAcentral describes it as "bacterial SSU rRNA". It matches the Rfam family "Bacterial small subunit ribosomal RNA", at positions 327 to 805 of the family's 1533-position model. The record is from RNAcentral.
AACCGAGAACUCCUACGGGAGGCAGCAGUGGGGAAUUUUGGCAAAGGGGGCAACCCUGAUCCAGCAAUGCCCCGUGAGUGAAAGAAGCCUUCGGGUUGUAAAGCUUUUUUGUCAGGGAAGAAACGGUAGUAACUUAUAUCUAUUACUAAUUACGGUACCUGAAGGAUAAGCACCGGCUAACUACGUGCCAGCAGCCGCGGUAAUACGUAGGGUGCAAGCGUUAAUCGGAAUUACUGGGCGUAAAGCGUGCGCAGGCGGUUGUGUAAGUCAGAUGUGAAAUCCCCGGGCUCUACCUGGGAAUUGCAUUUGAGACUGCACGGCUAGAGUGUGUCAGAGGGGGGUAGAAUUCCACGUGUAGCAGUGAAAUGCGUAGAUAUGUGGAGGAAUACCGAUGGCGAAGGCAGCCCCCUGGGAUAACACUGACGCUCAUGCACGAAAGCGUGGGGAGCAAACAGGAUUAGAUACCCUAGUAGUCCGACUGAGA